This is a long non-coding RNA of Symphalangus syndactylus (siamang), 746 nucleotides long. RefSeq lists it as uncharacterized. The record is from RefSeq and is a predicted model, not a curated record. NCBI's taxonomy places the organism in Eukaryota, Metazoa, Chordata, Mammalia, Primates, Hylobatidae.
GGUUGCCUCUGAGAAGCUGAUAGGCUGUUAAUUCCCAGCCACCCUGGGAAGCCCACCCUUGGAUGGGCUGAGCAAGUUCCUGUGACACCUCAAAAUGACUCAGGAAAAGAAGCAGAAAGAUAAAGACACUUAUGUCGGAUGCUGUCAGGAUGGGCAGGAACCGUCCUCUGCAGAGAUGGGAUCUUGCUAUGUGGCCCAAGCUGGUCUCAAACUCCUGGCCUCAAGCAAUCCUCCCACUGAGGCAGGACUGGUAGUCAAGGAAUUGACCAUGUUCGCGGGACAAACAACCAUGGUGAGCAUACAGUCAACAUAAUCAGCCUCAGCACUUGCACUGGGCUCACUCAAGCAAAGCUGUCUUCAGCAGGGACUUUCCCUUCUAGAGCACAUGCAUAUUUGGAUUUUACCCAUCCUCAAACUGACCCUUUGCCCAUUAUAAUAGUAAAAAACACACCCUGGGUGGAGAUUUAAGAUGCUAACGAGACAUGCAACAUAUGAACAAGCAUGUACAGUUACUGCGCACGUGCACCCAGAGGACCCCCCGGUACAUGCUUACUAGCAACACCUCUUUCCAACUCCUUAUGAAUAAUCAUGGGAGACUCCCAUAAAGGAGUCCCCCUAGCGCCGGUCUCUGCUGUCUCAUCCUUACGAGCAGCCCGCCCUGAAUCCUCUUUCUCGGUGUACUGUCUAUUCUGUACCUAACUUUCCAAAUAUUCUUUUUCUUUUGCAAUAAAUUACUCUAUGCUGCA